GGGUAUGGUGGAGCACACCUGUAAUCCAUGCUGCUGGGGAGGAGGCUAAGGCUAGUGGAUUGCUUUAACUUGGGAAUUCUGACUUGCAGUAGGAAUAAAGCCAAUAUGAUUGUCUGCACUGUUGGGUACCAACACAGUGAGCUUCUGGGAGUGGGGGGCCACUAGGCUGCCUAAAGAGAGAUGAACAGACUUUGGGUAGAAACAGAUUGAGUCAAAGUUUCUAUGCUGAUCAGCUGUGUGAAUGUCUGCCUCACAUUUAGCCUGAUAUAGGAAGACUCAGUCUCA
This 285-nucleotide small RNA is filed under the name Phascolarctos cinereus (koala). RNAcentral's name for it is "Metazoan signal recognition particle RNA (ENSPCIG00000012329.2)". Lineage: Eukaryota; Metazoa; Chordata; Mammalia; Diprotodontia; Phascolarctidae. The record is from RNAcentral.